GAUGAACGCUGGCGGCGUGCCUAAUACAUGCAAGUCGAGCGAACAGAAGAGGAUCUUGCUUCUCUGUCGUUAGCGGCGGACGGGUGAGUAACACGUGGAUAACCUACCUAUCAGACUUGGAUAACUUCGGGAACCCGGAGCUAAUACUGGAUAAUAUAUUGAACCGCAUGGUUCAAUAGUGAAAGACGGUGUUGCUGUCACUUAUAGAUGGAUUCGCGCUGCAUUAGCUGGUAGGUAAGGUCACGGCUUACCAAGGCAACGAUGCGUAGCCGACCGGGGAGGGGGAUCGGCCACACGGGAACUGAGACAGGGUCCAGACUCCUACGGGAGGCAGCAGAAGGGAAUGUGAGGCAGUAGGGGAAAGCAUGACGGAGCGGCGCCGAGUGUGUGAUGAAGGCCUUCGGAUCGUAAAACUCGCUUAUUGGGGAAAAACAACUUUGUAAGGAAAUAUGGCCGUAGUGACGGUACCUAAUCAGAAAGCAACGGCUAACUACGUG
Molecule: ribosomal RNA, 497 nt
Filed under: uncultured bacterium
Lineage: Bacteria
Description: partial 16S ribosomal RNA
Rfam family: Bacterial small subunit ribosomal RNA
Source: RNAcentral